This 421-nucleotide unclassified non-coding RNA is filed under the name soil metagenome. Its description in RNAcentral is "partial contains 5.8S ribosomal RNA, internal transcribed spacer 2, and large subunit ribosomal RNA". The stretch from base 1 to 120 matches the Rfam family "5.8S ribosomal RNA", at positions 35 to 154 of the family's 154-position model. The record is from RNAcentral.
GAUGAAGAACGUAGCGAAAUGCGAUACGUAAUGUGAAUUGCAGAAUUCAGUGAAUCAUCGAAUCUUUGAACGCAUAUUGCGCUCUUUGGUAUUCCGAAGAGCAUGCUUGUUUGAGUAUCAGUAAACACCUCAACCUCUUCUUGAUUUUUCAAAAGGAGGGUGGACUUGAGCUAUCCCAACAACCUUUACCGGUCGGCGGGCGGCUUGAAAUGCAGGUGCAGCUGGACUUUUAUCUGAGCUAAAAGCAUAUCUAUUUAGUCCUCGUCAAACAGGAUUAUUACUUUUGCUGCAGCUAACAUAAAGGAUAAUUGUCCUCUUUGCUGACUGAUGCAGGAUUUUACGACACUUUAUUUGUUGUUCAACUCGAUCUCAAAUCAAGUAAGACUACCCGCUGAACUUAAGCAUAUCAAUAAGCGGAGGA